RNAcentral lists this ribosomal RNA (493 nucleotides) under uncultured bacterium. RNAcentral describes it as "partial 16S ribosomal RNA". It matches the Rfam family "Bacterial small subunit ribosomal RNA", at positions 29 to 507 of the family's 1533-position model. The record is from RNAcentral.
ACGCACGCUGGCGGCGUGCUUAACCCCUUCCAGUCGCACGGUGAAGCGCCUUCCUUUUUGGUGGGUGUGGAUGAGUGGCGAACGGGUGAGUAACACGUGAGUAACCUGCCCCCUUCUUCUGGAUAACCGCAUGAAAGUGUGGCUAAUACGGGAUAUUCUGGGUCUGUCGCAUGAUGGGUCUGGGAAAGAUAUUGUUUCGGUGGGGGAUGGGCUCGCGGCCUAUCAGCUUGUUGGUGGGGUGAUGGCCUACCAAGGCGGUGACGGGUAGCCGGCCUGAGAGGGUGGACGGUCACACUGGGACUGAGACACGGCCCAGACUCCUACGGGAGGCAGCAGUGGGGAAUAGUGCACAAUGGGCGCAAGCCUGAUGCAGCGACGCCGCGUGAGGGAUGGAGGCCUUCGGCUCGUGAACCUCUUUCGCCAGUGAAGCAGGCCUGCCUCGUUUGUGGGUGGGUUGACGGUAGCUGGAUAAGAAGCGCCGGCUAACUACGUG